Molecule: transfer RNA, 66 nt
Filed under: Oncomelania hupensis hupensis
Lineage: Eukaryota; Metazoa; Mollusca; Gastropoda; Littorinimorpha; Pomatiopsidae
Also listed under: 1 other name
Description: tRNA-Gly
Source: RNAcentral
AUCUCUUGAGUAUGAGAAGUACAUUUGCCUUCCAAGCAAAAAGAUUAGAUUGACCUAAAAGAGAUA